RNAcentral lists this ribosomal RNA (250 nucleotides) under uncultured bacterium. Its description in RNAcentral is "partial 16S ribosomal RNA". It matches the Rfam family "Bacterial small subunit ribosomal RNA", at positions 104 to 354 of the family's 1533-position model. The record is from RNAcentral.
UGGUGAGUAACGCGUGAGGAACCUGCCUUCCAGAGGGGGACAACAGUUGGAAACGACUGCUAAUACCGCAUGACACAUUUGAAUCGCAUGGUUUGAAUGUCAAAGAUUUAUCGCUGGAAGAUGGCCUCGCGUCUGAUUAGCUAGUAGGCGGGGUAACGGCCCACCUAGGCGACGAUCAGUAGCCGGACUGAGAGGUUGACCGGCCACAUUGGGACUGAGAUACGGCCCAGACUCCUACGGAAGGCAGCAG